This 155-nucleotide ribosomal RNA is filed under the name uncultured bacterium. RNAcentral describes it as "partial 16S ribosomal RNA". It matches the Rfam family "Bacterial small subunit ribosomal RNA", at positions 355 to 507 of the family's 1533-position model. The record is from RNAcentral.
UAAGGAAUAUUGGACAAUGGGCGGAAGCCUGAUCCAGCCAUCCCGCGUGCAGGAUGAAGGCCCUCCGGGUCGUAAACUGCUUUAGACUGGGAAGAAACCACUUUUCGUGAGAAGUGUUGACGGUACCAGUAGAAUAAGCACCGGCUAACUCCGUG